GAGGCCCUUCGAGGAAGUUACGUGAGCCGACGCACGCUGCCGCCGCGCGUUAGGCCAGCAGCGAAGAAUUACGUCACCCACCGCGAGCUAAAGUCUGCGCCUGCGCAGGAGGCUGCAACGGCAGCUCUGCCUCUCCCGCUACGCGGCAGGGGCGGGGUCGGCCUGCCCCCGAAAAUCACGUGAGCUGCGGGCCCGCUGCAGCAGAUAAAAAAGCAUGUCCUGGUUCCAGAACAACCCCACCUUCUGUGCACAACUGCUGGCUCUGCCUCCAGGUUCACCCAGAAGUGGAUCCUGCAAUCGCUUCCCUUCUCAGGAUUUUCAGAAGCCAGCCCAGUUCAUGGAGCAUGGGGCUCACCCCUAGGUGCACACACUGAGAGUUGAGUCCUUCCCUAGUAGUCUAGGACCCUCCUGCUCUCCCGCACCCAGAGCCCUGACUUCCUCCAGAAAUGAAUCUCCUUGCCCAAACGGGUUAAUAAGAACAGUAUGUGCCUCAUGCUUACGGAGGGUGAGCCCUACUCUGUUAGUAGUAUGUCACUUUCUCACAAAACUCUGCGAAGGGGUAGUAUCAUUAUUCCUAUUAUACAGAGGAGGAAACAGAGGCACAGGAAGGUUAGCCAGCCUACCCAAGAUCACAGCGAGUCUGAGCCAGGACUGAACCUCCACAGUGGUACUCUGUGCAGACCAGUCUCCCCAGCUACAGCAGAACAGAGAUCAGGUAAAUGCCAAAAGGGAACUAAACUGGGUGUGAUUAAAUAGCAUACUAAAAGUUGUGUCUGGUUUGCAUGAAUCCAUAAGUCAACACUGAGAAGUGUGGUUUCUAAGACAUUGAGUGGAGGUGGGGCAACUUCUUGCAAAACCCCAGGGACUUGGCCCUCCUGCCUGAUUGCAUCAUGGCCAUCUCACCUCGGCACCCUCCUGGGCACAGGCCUGCUGGGUGCCGAAUCCUUCCCUCCUCAGGCCGUUUGCACAUCCUGUUCAGAUCCUCCCUCUUUCCCCCAGUUAAUUCAUCUCCACUCAGCUGUCUCCUCCCCAGAAGCCAGCCCAGCUCCCUGACCAGGACAAAGUCUCACACCAUAAGCUCAGACAUGUUCAUGAUUUCCAGGCCCCUGGAGGUGUUUAGGGAAUUGGAGGUGGGGCUCUAAGCACCAAAAAGGAAGGAGUUGGGAAACAGUCAUUUGCCAUUUUAAAACUGCAACGUACCCAAGAUAACAGCAAUUUGGGAGCCAGAACUGAAUCUCCACAGCAGUGCUCUGUGCAGACCAGAGUCCUAAAGAUGGUCAUACUCAUAUUCCAGUGGUUCUGGACUGAAUCUUUGUGUGUGAUAACAUACACUAUAUAUAUUUGUACACCAGUAUAAACAUAAUGACUUUCUACUGGAUUACAA
Molecule: long non-coding RNA, 1384 nt
Filed under: Sus scrofa (pig)
Lineage: Eukaryota; Metazoa; Chordata; Mammalia; Artiodactyla; Suidae
Description: lncRNA (ENSSSCG00065047396.1)
Source: RNAcentral